GACGAACGCUGGCGGCGUGCCUAAUACAUGCAAGUCGAGCGGACUUUCAAGAAGCUUGCUUUUUGAAAGUUAGCGGCGGACGGGUGAGUAACACGUGGGCAACCUGCCUGCAAGACGGGGAUAACUCCGGGAAACCGGGGCUAAUACCGGAUAAUAUCUUCCUUCGCAUGAAGGAAGGUUGAAAGGCGGCGCAAGCUGCCGCUGGCAGAUGGGCCCGCGGCGCAUUAGCUAGUUGGGGAGGUAACGGCUCACCAAGGCGACGAUGCGUAGCCGACCUGAGAGGGUGGACGGCACUAGUGGGGCUGAGAUAGGGGCCAGACGCCGACGGGAGGCAGAAGGGGGGAAGAUGGCAGAAGGGGGGCAAGCCGGAUGCAGAGACGCCGCGGGGGGGAGGACGGCCGUCGGGGGGGAAACUCGUUGCGCGAGGGACGAAGCGUUUUGUGACGGGAGCUAGAUAAGAAGAAACGGCGAACUAAGGG
RNAcentral lists this ribosomal RNA (479 nucleotides) under uncultured bacterium. RNAcentral's name for it is "partial 16S ribosomal RNA". It matches the Rfam family "Bacterial small subunit ribosomal RNA", at positions 28 to 507 of the family's 1533-position model. The record is from RNAcentral.